This is a small nucleolar RNA of Lactuca sativa (garden lettuce), 106 nucleotides long. RefSeq annotates it as small nucleolar RNA Z279/snoR105/snoR108. The record is from RefSeq and is a predicted model, not a curated record. NCBI's taxonomy places the organism in Eukaryota, Viridiplantae, Streptophyta, Magnoliopsida, Asterales, Asteraceae.
GGGAUAUGAUGAGUGGUCAAUGCUCGCAUUUAAAAAUGCGAGAAGGGGUGUCCGCCUAAAGCCUGUUACGACAAUUGGGCAUCUCAACUCAGUACCAUCUGAUCCC